This 401-nucleotide ribosomal RNA is filed under the name uncultured bacterium. RNAcentral's name for it is "bacterial SSU rRNA". It matches the Rfam family "Bacterial small subunit ribosomal RNA", at positions 490 to 890 of the family's 1533-position model. The record is from RNAcentral.
GCCACGGCUAACUCGUGCCAGCAGCCGCGGUAAUACGUAGGUGGCAAGCGUUAUCCGGAAUUAUUGGGCGUAAAGCGCGCGUAGGCGGUUUUUUAAGUCUGAUGUGAAAGCCCACGGCUCAACCGUGGAGGGUCAUUGGAAACUGGAAAACUUGAGUGCAGAAGAGGAAAGUGGAAUUCCAUGUGUAGCGGUGAAAUGCGCAGAGAUAUGGAGGAACACCAGUGGCGAAGGCGACUUUCUGGUCUGUAACUGACGCUGAUGUGCGAAAGCGUGGGGAUCAAACAGGAUUAGAUACCCUGGUAGUCCACGCCGUAAACGAUGAGUGCUAAGUGUUAGGGGGUUUCCGCCCCUUAGUGCUGCAGCUAACGCAUUAAGCACUCCGCCUGGGGAGUACGACCGCA